UUAAAUGUUCAUUGAUCGAUUAUUGUGCGAUUUUGAUUGUUGGCAAAUUAACCAACUGUUUAUCAGAACAGUGGAAACAGUGAUAUCUUCGUGCUUAUUCGUGAUUUAUAUUCGUACCACCUGAAGAAACCAAUUCUUGACAAGUGCGUGCAUCGCUCGUCGCUGCUUAAGAAUGCGAAAAGAUAUAAUCGAUUCGGACACGAACAGCACCUGGACCGCGGAGACUUCUACAUCCACGCUUCCGAUAUUCGACAAACAAACUCUGUUUGGAAUCGACAAACUAAUUGGAUCCCCUGUGAACAAUUUUGUUCGCAUACACGUAUUAAAAGUGAUAAAAACAGGCGUUUUAUCUUUUUUAAAAGAGGUACACCUUCGUCCGAUUUAUAUUCGUAACAGAAUUUAUUAUUAUUUUAAGAGGAUUUAAAAUGUAAAUCUAUGUGCGUGUGAGAUUUAAUGUUUUACUUAUUGGUAAUAGGAUAUAAAUGAUGAUCUUUAUGUUACAGAUACGGCUCGUUUAAGGUGCGCUGAAGGCACGUUUCGCGUGCAAAACAUUUACGGCGAUGGUAAUUGCAUGUUUCGGGCGAUUAGCUACAUUUUAUGGCAAAACGAGGACGAACAUCGGUAUCUUCGAUCAAUGGUGUGCAUCGUUUUCGUUUAUGUGAUUCUUUCAGGCAAACUACGAAAAAGAUCUAUACAUAUAGCAAAAUAAAUUGCUUGAAAUAAUCAAAGACUCUAUAGAAAGAAUAUUACAAAAUAUAUAAAAAUGUCCUAUAGGGGAACUAAAAUUUAAUAUUUAAUGCAUCGACGGAAAAUCAAAUUUGAUCCGUAUUUGAUAAAACGAAGGAAAUUCUUUCGAUGAACAAAAGAUUCUCCAUUUACUUCAAGCAAUCUAUAUCUCUAAUAUCUAUCGGUAUCUAUAUACCUUCUUAUCUUAACAAAAUUUCUAAUUUACAAACUAU
Molecule: long non-coding RNA, 959 nt
Organism: Bombus pyrosoma
Lineage: Eukaryota; Metazoa; Arthropoda; Insecta; Hymenoptera; Apidae
Exons: 2
Source: RefSeq, a predicted model, not a curated record